This 253-nucleotide ribosomal RNA is filed under the name uncultured bacterium. RNAcentral's name for it is "partial 16S ribosomal RNA". It matches the Rfam family "Bacterial small subunit ribosomal RNA", at positions 524 to 776 of the family's 1533-position model. The record is from RNAcentral.
UAAAGAGAGUGCAAACGUUGUUCGGAAUUACUGGGCGUAAAGCGCGGGCAGGCGGCUCGAUGCGUCUGAUGUGAAAUCUCCUCGCUCAACGGGGAGAGGCCAUUGGAAACGGUCGAGCUGGAGGGCAGUAGAGGUAGGCGGAAUUCCGGGUGGAGUGGUGAAAUGCGUAGAGAUCCGGAGGAACACCAGAGGCGAAGGCGGCCUACUGGGCUGCACCUGACGCUGAGCCGCGAAAGCCAGGGGAGCGAACGGG